Molecule: ribosomal RNA, 402 nt
Filed under: uncultured bacterium
Lineage: Bacteria
Description: bacterial SSU rRNA
Rfam family: Bacterial small subunit ribosomal RNA
Source: RNAcentral
UGGGGAAUAUUGCACAAUGGGGGAAACCCUGAUGCAGCAACGCCGCGUGAGCGAUGAAGGCCUUCGGGUUGUAAAGCUCUGUCUUCGGGGACGAUAAUGACGGUACCCGAGGAGGAAGCCACGGCUAACUACGUGCCAGCAGCCGCGGUAAUACGUAGGUGGCAAGCGUUGUCCGGAAUUAUUGGGCGUAAAGGAUGCGUAGGUGGUCCUUUAAGUGGGAUGUGAAAUCCCUGGGCUUAACCCAGGAAUUGCAUUCCAAACUGGAGGACUAGAGUGCAGGAGAGGAAAGUGGAAUUCCCAGUGUAGCGGUGAAAUGCGUAGAGAUUGGGAGGAACACCAGUGGCGAAGGCGGCUUUCUGGACUGUAACUGACACUGAGGCAUGAAAGCGUGGGGAGCAAACA